UUUCAAUCGACUGUUUUCUGCUUGUUUAUUUUUCUUGGGUAUGGAUUGUGACUUUUUGCAAUGAGAACGGGUUCACGACGUGCUACCUGAUUCUCAAUAGGGUGUAUAGACGGGGUGAUUUGAGACGAUCAUUUUGAUACCAAAAUCGAAUACGAUAGCUCCUGUUUAGCAGUUCCAAGAACCGACUGAGUCAUCUCUUUCGAUUCUUUGAUAUGUCGACUUAAUCGCUUAUUCCUUGCCGCCAAAAACCACAACAAGUCCUGGACGACAAGUUCUGCACAACAGCUGGACGACAACAACAGCUGGACUUCCAAAAACAAUUGAGGAGUCUUUGGAGCGUAUCAUCGACUACUGUACAACAAAUCGACAUUGUAGUUGUUUAGAACGACACUGGUAGCAACAUGAGCGUAAAGAGCUUGUCUUUCCAACACAACUCAGCAGGACAACAGUCCAUCGAUUGAGUCAACCGUGAGCAAGUAUUGUACUAACAGUGUCCAGGACUUGAGCCUUUUUUUUCACUCUGAAAAGUAAUUCUUCAUUCGUUAGCAGUCGCACGAAAAGACAAUCUCAGAAACCCUACCAUCAUCGUCUACGAACCACUCAACCCCGAAGCUCUUCCGAAUCUGUUGCUGCAAGUGGUGGGUUGAGAUCAAGCAAGUCUUCGUACACACUCACA
RNAcentral lists this unclassified non-coding RNA (676 nucleotides) under Yarrowia lipolytica. The record is from RNAcentral. Lineage: Eukaryota; Fungi; Ascomycota; Dipodascomycetes; Dipodascales.